This 434-nucleotide ribosomal RNA is filed under the name uncultured bacterium. Its description in RNAcentral is "bacterial SSU rRNA". It matches the Rfam family "Bacterial small subunit ribosomal RNA", at positions 355 to 786 of the family's 1533-position model. The record is from RNAcentral.
UGAGGAAUAUUGGUCAAUGGACGUGAGUCUGAACCAGCCAAGUCGCGUGAAGGAAGAAGGUUCUAUGGAUUGUAAACUUCUUUUAUACGGGAAUAAAGUGCGCCACGUGUGGUGUUUUGUAUGUACCGUAUGAAUAAGCAUCGGCUAACUCCGUGCCAGCAGCCGCGGUAAUACGGAGGAUGCGAGCGUUAUCCGGAUUUAUUGGGUUUAAAGGGUGCGUAGGUUGUUUUUAAGUCAGCGGUGAAAGUUUGUGGCUCAACCAUAAAAUUUGCCGUUGAAACUGGAAGACUUGAGUGUGUUUGAGGUAGGCGGAAUGCGUGGUGUAGCGGUGAAAUGCAUAGAUAUCACGAAGAACUCCGAUUGCGAAGGCAGCCUGCUGGACUGUAACUGACGCUGAUGCUCGAAAGUGUGGGUAUCAAACAGGAUUAGAUACC